GAUGAACUCUGGCGGCGUGCCUAAUACAUGCAAGUCGAGCGAACAGACGAGGAGCUUGCUCCUCUGACGUUAGCGGCGGACGGGUGAGUAACACGUGGAUAACCUACCUAUAAGACUGGGAUAACUUCGGGAAACCGGAGCUAAUACCGGAUAAUAUAUUGAACCGCAUGGUUCAAUAGUGAAAGACGGUUUUGCUGUCACUUAUAGAUGGAUCCGCGCCGCAUUAGCUAGUUGGUAAGGUAACGGCUUACCAAGGCAACGAUGCGUAGCCGACCUGAGAGGGUGAUCGGCCACACUGGAACUGAGACACGGUCCAGACUCCUACGGGAGGCAGCAGUAGGGAAUCUUCCGCAAUGGGCGAAAGCUUGACGGAGCAACGCCGCGUGAGUGAUGAAGGUCUUCGGAUCGUAAAACUCUGUUAUUAGGGAAGAACAAAUGUGUAAGUAACUAUGCACGUCUUGACGGUACCUAAUCAGAAAGCCACGGCUAACUACGUG
This 497-nucleotide ribosomal RNA is filed under the name uncultured bacterium. Its description in RNAcentral is "partial 16S ribosomal RNA". It matches the Rfam family "Bacterial small subunit ribosomal RNA", at positions 28 to 507 of the family's 1533-position model. The record is from RNAcentral.